GUACAUGAGAGUCCGUUCGUAAUGUUCGUGCUGGUUCGUGGUCGGGCGGUCGUCUGUCGUUAAGUCGUCAAUGGUGUACAAAUAUGAAAUAUGGAAAAUUUUAUAUGACUAAUUUAGGAUGUUUUAAAUCUGACUGAUUAGAUUUCUGGCAGAAACUUGUCCUAAAAUGCCUGAGAUCGAUGGGGAAGAAAGUGGUGAUGAGGAAAUGACAAGAAAUGUUGCUGCGGAUGAAAACAUGAGCGAAGACGAUGACAGUUCUUCGGGGUCAGAGGAAUCAUCAAGUUCUGGGGAUGAGAUUGAGAAUGAGAAACGACGGCUACAAUGUGUGCAGGAAAUGAAUGAACUUGAGAAGCAGUUUGCCAACAUUAAAGAGCAGCUGUAUAAGGAAAGAAUCAGUCAGAUUGAGAAGAAACUGCUCACAGUUCAAGAUGACACAGCUGAGGAAUAUCUAGACCCUCUUUGUAAACUCCAAGAUAUGUGUCAAGUAAGACAAGAAGUUGCAGAUGUACUCAAAGGAUGUAAAUUACAAAAUGUAGAAAAUAAAUAUGUUGCCGAAGGGUUGGCGACAUCACAAUAUUUCGAGAGUGAGAAAAAUGUGCUCAUGGAAAAAAUGAGAGUUGAUCUGGAGGAAAAAAUACGUAAGUUGGAGGAAGAUCGACACAAUUCAGACAUCAGUGCAGAUUUAUGGUUGGAGUCACAAAAUCUGAAGAAACACAAGAAAGCUGAUGGCUUCUUCAAUGACAAACGAAGAAAGCCAGUUACUGUGUCUGGUCCAUAUAUUGUUUACAUGCUUCAUGAUAUGGAUAUUUAUGAAGAUUGGGCUGCUAUCAGAAGGGCAAAAGGAGCCUUAUCAAGACGAAAAUCUGAAAGUAACAGUGGAAACCAAGGAAAUACCUUUGAUGAGAGUAAAUGUCCAGUGCACGAUAUGAAGAUGGAAAGCUGUUUUAUGAAGGAGAAUGGUUUGUUAAAGGGAAUCAUGUAAAGGUUGAAAGUAAAGGAGGAGCACCUGUUGAUGCAACCAUUACUGCCAUCAACACAGGGGAGGUUUGGAUAAAAAAACCUCAUGGCGACAGAUUCAAGUUAUACAUUGCUCAACUGCAAAAGGAAAUUUAAAUUAAGAAAAACAAAGUAAUCUAUGAUCACUGUCAUUUUUGUGUAUAUUGUAUGAUAUUACUAAAUAACAAGGCAAUAUUUUCUACUUUUUCUUUGUCAGUCAUUACUGCAUAUUACAAUGUAAAGGCCAAUUUAUGAUGGGUCAUUUGCUUUUUAGUCAAAUAUAUUUAUUAAGGAGUUA
This is an RNA transcript of Xenia sp. Carnegie-2017, 1294 nucleotides long. It is a transcript of the gene named breast cancer metastasis-suppressor 1-like protein-A, with no coding region annotated. The transcript has 16 exons. Lineage: Eukaryota; Metazoa; Cnidaria; Anthozoa; Malacalcyonacea; Xeniidae. The record is from RefSeq and is a predicted model, not a curated record.